This 468-nucleotide ribosomal RNA is filed under the name uncultured bacterium. RNAcentral describes it as "partial 16S ribosomal RNA". It matches the Rfam family "Bacterial small subunit ribosomal RNA", at positions 28 to 507 of the family's 1533-position model. The record is from RNAcentral.
GACGAACGCUGGCGGCGUGCUUAACACAUGCAAGUCGAACGGAAAGGCCCUGCUUUUGUGGGGUGCUCGAGUGGCGAACGGGUGAGUAACACGUGAGUAACCUGCCCUUGACUUUGGGAUAACUUCAGGAAACUGGGGCUAAUACCGGAUAGGAGCUCCUGCUGCAUGGUGGGGGUUGGAAAGUUUCGGCGGUUGGGGAUGGACUCGCGGCUUAUCAGCUUGUUGGUGGGGUAGUGGCUUACCAAGGCUUUGACGGGUAGCCGGCCUGAGAGGGUGACCGGCCACAUUGGGACUGAGAUACGGCGCAGACUCCUACGGGAGGCAGCAGUGGGGAAUAUUGCACAAUGGGCGGAAGCCUGAUGCAGAAACGCCGCGUGCGGGAUGACGGCCUUCGGGUUGUAAACCGCUUUCGCCUGUGACGAAGCGUGAGUGACGGUAAUGGGUAAAGAAGCACCGGCUAACUACGUG